Molecule: ribosomal RNA, 510 nt
Filed under: uncultured bacterium
Lineage: Bacteria
Description: bacterial SSU rRNA
Rfam family: Bacterial small subunit ribosomal RNA
Source: RNAcentral
CUACGUGCCAGCAGCCGCGGUAAUACGUAGGGAGCGAGCGUUAUCCGGAUUUAUUGGGUGUAAAGGGUGCGUAGACGGAAAUGCAAGUUAGUUGUGAAAUACCUCGGCUUAACUGGGGAACUGCAACUAAAACUAUAUUUCUUGAGUAUCGGAGGGGUUUGUGGAAUUCCUAGUGUAGCGGUGAAAUGCGUAGAUAUUAGGAAGAACACCGGUGGCGAAGGCGACAAACUGGACGAUAACUGACGUUGAGGCACGAAAGUGUGGGGAGCAAACAGGAUUAGAUACCCUGGUAGUCCACACCGUAAACGAUGGAUACUAGGUGUUGGCAAUGAAUAAUUGUCGGUGCCGGCGCUAACGCAAUAAGUAUCCCACCUGGGGAGUACGACCGCAAGGUUGAAACUCAAAGGAAUUGACGGGGGCCCGCACAAGCGGAGGAACAUGUGGUUUAAUUCGAUGAUACGCGAGGAACCUUACCCGGGCUUGAACUAACGGUGACGAAUCUAGAGAUAG